AGAGUUUGAUCCUGGCUCAGGAUGAACGCUGGCGGCGUGCCUAACACAUGCAAGUCGAACGAAGCGUUUUCAUGGAAGUCUUCAGAUGGAAAUGAAAAUGACUGAGUGGCGGACGGGUGAGUAACGCGUGGGUAACCUGCCUCAUACAGGGGGAUAACAGUUGGAAACGACUGCUAAUACCGCAUAAGCACACAGUGUCGCAUGACACAGUGUGAAAAACUCCGGUGGUAUGAGAUGGACCCGCGUCUGAUUAGCUAGUUGGUGGGGUAAAGGCCUACCAAGGCGACGAUCAGUAGCCGACCUGAGAGGGUGACCGGCCACAUUGGGACUGAGACACGGCCCAAACUCCUACGGGAGGCAGCAGUGGGGAAUAUUGCACAAUGGGCGAAAGCCUGAUGCAGCGACGCCGCGUGAACGAAGAAGUAUUUCGGUAUGUAAAGUUCUAUCAGCAGGGAAGAUAAUGACGGUACCUGACUAAGAAGCACCGGCUAAAUACGUGCCAGCAGCCGCGGUAAUACGUAUGGUGCAAGCGUUAUCCGGAUUUACUGGGUGUAAAGGGAGCGCAGGCGGUGCGGCCAGUCUGAUGUGAAAACCCAGGGCUCAACCUUGGGAGUGCAUUGGAAACUGUCGUACUAGAGUAUCGGAGGGGUAAGCGGAAUUCCUGGUGUAGCGGUGAAAUGCGUAGAUAUCAGGAGGAACACCGGUGGCGAAGGCGGGCUUACUGGACGAAAACUGACGCUGAGGCUCGAAAGCGUGGGGAGCAAACAGGAUUAGAUACCCUGGUAGUCCACGCUGUAAACGAUGAAUACUAGGUGUCGGGUACUAAGAGUACUCGGUGCCGCAGCAAACGCAAUAAGUAUUCCACCUGGGGAGUACGUUCGCAAGGUUGAAACUCAAAGGAAUUGACGGGGGCCCGCACAAGCAGUGGAUUAUGUGGUUUAAUUCGACGCAACGCGAAGAACCUUACCAGGAUUUGACAUCCAACUAACGAAGUAGAGAUACAUUAGGUGCCCUUCGGGGAAAGUUGAGACAGGUGGUGCAUGGUUGUCGUCAGCUCGUGUCGCGAGAUGUUGGGUUAAGUCCCGCAACGAGCGCAACCCCUAUUGUUAGUUGCUACGCGAGAGCACUCUAGCGAGACUGCCGUUGACAAAACGGAGGAAGGCGGGGACGACGUCAAAUCAUCAUGCCCCUUAUGUCCUGGGCUACACACGUAAUACAAUGGCCGUCAACAGAGGGAAGCAAAGCCGCGAGGCGGAGCAAAUCCCCAAAAACGGUCUCAGUUCGGAUUGCAGGCUGCAACUCGCCUGCAUGAAGCUGGAAUUGCUAGUAAUCGCGGAUCAGCAUGCCGCGGUGAAUACGUUCCCGGGCCUUGCACUCACCGCCCGUCA
Molecule: ribosomal RNA, 1388 nt
Filed under: uncultured bacterium
Lineage: Bacteria
Description: 16S ribosomal RNA
Rfam family: Bacterial small subunit ribosomal RNA
Source: RNAcentral